ACUCCAUGUCCGACCACCCUACUGCCUCCUCUCCGUCACUACUCAAACCACCCUCCCCAAGCACACCACCACAAACAUCAAAUGACGCUCUUCUUCAGCGUCUUCCAAGCAGCCCACGUCGAUGAACCAACCAGCUCCAGCUCCUCCAUCGUCAAAUACACUGACCCAACGACCCUUGUCCUGUGCUCAACCAUAACCAGCGAGCAACAGCGCUCCAUCUUCACCGAGACCCACUUACCGAACGACUUCAUGUCCAAACAACCACCUCAAGACCCUCCAGUUGCCCGUCGUCAACCACCACGAGCAACACCCUUACAAAGCAGACCUCCCAGUUCACGCUAGCAAUCCCUCUCGCUGCUUCGUCGUCUUCCUCACGUCCCCACGACCACUUCGCUGCCUGUCGUCCCCAGCCCCGAAUGACCCCUCCUAGUCCCUCAUCUCCCAUGAACAUACACGCACACAAACGAAAAAAGAAG
Molecule: long non-coding RNA, 476 nt
Filed under: Nicotiana benthamiana
Lineage: Eukaryota; Viridiplantae; Streptophyta; Magnoliopsida; Solanales; Solanaceae
Description: long non-coding RNA (NBEN_LNC020688)
Source: RNAcentral